Dermacentor andersoni is the source of this 678-nucleotide long non-coding RNA. RefSeq lists it as uncharacterized. Lineage: Eukaryota; Metazoa; Arthropoda; Arachnida; Ixodida; Ixodidae. The record is from RefSeq and is a predicted model, not a curated record.
AUUUUCUCGCCGAAACGCCAAUGCCAGUAUAGACAGCAUUGACAGCUGAACCAAGCAGCUGUUUACGCUGCUGUAUCAAAGGGGCCUACGCUCGCCGCCCAUUUGGGAUACGAGACAAGCAGUGCACCUCGGAAGCUAAAUAAUGAGUCAGCGUGACGAUACGUAAAAAUACACCCAUCUUCGUGCCGGUGAGUGCGGAGGGCAGCUUUCCGUCGAAAACGGUAAAGAACGAGUCAUCAUCAGCCUGGUAACUCCCACUGCAGGGAACCUCCUGUGGAUGCUGAGUGAAUGGUGGCGGGACGUCGCAGACGCACUUCAUUGCAGCAGCUACACAACAUCCCAGAACUGGCGAAAGCAGCAACCCGCCCAUCCAUACAAGUCCCGGACCCCCAUGCAGCCCUGAGGGCGCCCACAACGAUGCGGAUGCCCGAGAUGGUGCCGCCGCCAUUGCCAUGUCGACACCUGUACGCACAUUGGGGACGGUCACCGAGGUAAUUUCAUUUCAGCAGACGGCUGCGAAAUCCAUCGGCGUUCACUCCUAGAGCCGGAAGUGGCACACAGAAAGCUGUUGCAGUGGUUUACCGAUGGAAGGCUUGGUGGUUAAUACGUAAAUGCCUGGAGAUAGCACUGUGGUGUUGCUUUUUAUAUUAGGUAACUACUGAUCUAAUAUUUUUGUUC